This is a long non-coding RNA of Pogoniulus pusillus (Red-fronted tinkerbird), 1475 nucleotides long. RefSeq lists it as uncharacterized. The transcript is spliced from 4 exons. Lineage: Eukaryota; Metazoa; Chordata; Aves; Piciformes; Lybiidae. The record is from RefSeq and is a predicted model, not a curated record.
CGCUCACCUGCCAAGAGGGGAGAGCCACAGCUCAGGAGGGACGCUCCACUUUCACACACAGCUGCUCCCCACCAGCUGCUGUACCCACAGCAGCACCCAGGCUGCAGCAGACCCCUUUUUACAGCAGUUCCUGGCAGCAGAGGCAUGGCCACAGCACAGGGCAUGGCUCCAACAGGGCAAAAGCUGCACGCUUGGACCUGCCUAUGGCAGGGAAACACUCCCUGCCCUGGGUGUCAACAGCAAGACGUGGCUGGUGAGACAUUUCACCCUGGGAACACUCCAGCCUGGGCAGGACUUGGACCAGCACUGGAACCUCACUGUUACAAAGGUUGUCCUCAAGAUGACAGAAAUGUAGCAACCUUUUUUUCUUGAACCAAAUCAUGAUCUUUAUUUCCUGUUACUUUGUACCUUCACCCACACAUCCCUGUCAGUAGGCAGCCUUGGCCAGGAAGGGCAAAGCAAGCAAGCUGCUCAUGGACUCUCAUAAACCUUGUGUGAAGUUACAGGUAAACAUCACUUGUCAAGAGCUGGGACGCAGAUCAACCCUCUGAACAAAGUUUUCCACCCCACAGGAGUCUAAGCAUCAUGUGAGCAGCUUUGGCUUUGAGGAUAAGGUUAAAUGAGGAUACUGAGGAUGAUGAAGGAUAAACAUUCACCUCAAGUGUCCAGGAGCCACAGAGCAGCCAGCUAGAUCCCAACCUGUGGCAGAAAGAACCCACCCAGGGACACAGGCUGCUGGUGCUGCCAGACCAUCUCCUCCCCAGCACAUCUCCCCACUACCCACCAGCUUCCCUGAAUCCAUCGUCUCUUUCAGCCGCUUGCCCAGCUCCGACCCCGAGGCCACCAUGGCCCGCAGCAUGUCCCCAGUUGCCAGGUGGCAAACGCAGUAGGUCUCUGCCAGCUUCGGUGCCUGUAAGAGAGGACAGACAAGAGCUCGCCCCAGUCCUGCACAGCACAGUGCUGGGCCAGAGAACCAGAAAAACAGGCCAAGAUCUCACAGGAGACAAGAGCUUUGCUGGCCCUGGUUGCCAGGAGAGUCCAUGACAGAGCCAAGACCACAGUGUCAAGUACAGGAACCUAGGGUAAAUUGAUCCUUCUCCCCCCACUCAGUGGAGGCAGCCACCCUUCCACACACAGAGUGUGCGACACCCGAGAGGGAGCUGCAAACCCGCAAGGAGGAAAAACUCUCCUCUGCCAGCUUGUGCUUUGUGGGAAGGAGCAGUGAAACCCUUCCCAAGGGCACAAAUGCAGGCAAAGAGAGAACUGCUUCACCUGAGGGGGCGUCUGCAUGGGUGGCAGAGGUGGGUCUGCUGCUGGGGACCCCACUGACACUGGCAGUAGGACACCAAGGGCAGAAUGAGUCCCAGAUACCUCCCCUGGCCAGUGUCCCAGCCAGCCAGGCGCUGCUCAGCCUUGCAUCUGCAGCGAGCCUCGUUUCCCUGGCAGCAGCCUUGAUGAGGUAUUUUUGGCUCUCU